GUCUCUUCAUUUCCUUUGUUGCAACUCCCUCUCUCAGCGAAGAAAAAAUUCUAAACUUGAUCUCGACAUCUUUAGCUUCCAAAUAUAAAUCUGAAAAUUAAACAAACACUUGAUUCAGUUCAGUAAUAAGCCUAUAUCAUCAUCGUCGGUACUUUUUCCUGAAGAUUCACUUGAAAUUGAGGAGAAAAGUUGAUGAUAUUUGAUUUCAUCAAAUUAAUUUGAGGAUUUCAUCAAAUUAAUUUGAGGAUUUCAUCAUUAAAAUCGAUUUGAAAUCCAAAAGAGCAUCAGUAGCUGCUCGUUUGAUUCAUAAGUAUAUUCGUGGUUGGAUAAUACGACGUUUAUAUUUGCAGCUUGUUGAGCUGUUCUUCUUCUAGAAUCCAUCACCUGGAGUUUGUCUAAUUGUAACUGUUUGCUACACAAAAGGAACAUAGAGUUGCUUCGCGGAUCCAAAUAAGUGUUGAUUAUUGAGCGGAUUUCUUUUGUUCCUUUUAGUUUAGGUUGCUCUUGAGAGGAAUAAAAAAUGAGAGAAAAUGCUCCUGAAAGACUGGUAUUGGGGUCUGAUGAUAUCACCAUGUUGCUUUGGGAAAUUGCUGUCAUCAAACAUUUCUUGGUCUACUUAUUGAGAGAAAAUUCAUAAAAGCUAAUGGAAGCUGAUUUUUUCUGUACAGCUUCACUGUCUUUUUAGCUUUGUCCCACUAUGUUCGUGAUGCAAUCUACUGGCUCAAGGUUCAUUGCUUGUUCUGCUAGGUAUGGUCUUAUAUGUUAUACUCAAUUAUCAACAGUUUAAUUAGGCGGUGAAGACUUGCUUAGAAAUGUGUAGUAGCUGGUGUUCGUUGAAUUGCAGUCUUCAUUGAUGUACUUAUACAGAGUCAAAAAAACAUGGGUGAGAAGAAAAAUAGCGGACGCAGGUUAGUAAAGUUCAAUUCUUCAUUUCUAAAUGUUGGGUUUUUUUAUUGAGCCACUAUUGGUGUUUGGAAAGCUUCUCUUCUUAUCAUUGGUAUGCAUGCAUUUCUUUGGAAUUAUUACACACAAAAUACAAUACGGUCCAACAUGUUUAAAAUAUAAAGUUUGAGGGAAUAAACUGAAGUUACACACUAUUACAGAUAAUCAAUAAAGUUUUGAGGUUGCGGCAA
This is a long non-coding RNA of Papaver somniferum (opium poppy), 1133 nucleotides long. RefSeq lists it as uncharacterized. The transcript has 5 exons. The record is from RefSeq and is a predicted model, not a curated record. Lineage: Eukaryota; Viridiplantae; Streptophyta; Magnoliopsida; Ranunculales; Papaveraceae.